Molecule: non-coding RNA, 27 nt
Filed under: Bombyx mori (domestic silkworm)
Lineage: Eukaryota; Metazoa; Arthropoda; Insecta; Lepidoptera; Bombycidae
Source: RNAcentral
UGUAUUCAGGAUAAGUGAUGUCAGGGC